AGGAGAGUUUGAUCCUGGCUCAGGAUGAACGCUAGCUACAGGCUUAACACAUGCAAGUCGAGGGGCAGCAUGAUCUGUGCUUGCACAGAUUGAUGGCGACCGGCGCACGGGUGAGUAACGCGUAUCCAACCUUCCCCUUAGUAGGGCAUAGCCCGGCGAAAGUCGGAUUAAUACCCUAUGUUUUCCAAUGAGGACAUCUGAGCUGGAAUAAAGAUUCAUCGCUAAGGGAUGGGGAUGCGUCCGAUUAGGUUGUUGGCGGGGUAACGGCCCACCAAGCCUUCGAUCGGUAGGGGUUCUGAGAGGAAGGUCCCCCACACUGGUACUGAGACACGGACCAGACUCCUACGGGAGGCAGCAGUGAGGAAUAUUGGUCAAUGGGCGAGAGCCUGAACCAGCCAAGUAGCGUGCAGGAUGACGGCCCUAUGGGUUGUAAACUGCUUUUAUACGGGGAUAAAGUGAGGGACGUGUCCCUUAUUGUAGGUACCGUAUGAAUAAGGACCGGCUAAUUCCGUGCCAGCAGCCGCGGUAAUACGGAAGGUCCGGGCGUUAUCCGGAUUUAUUGGGUUUAAAGGGAGCGCAGGCGGGACGCUAAGCGUGUUGUGAAAUGUACCGGCUCAACCGGUGAACUGCAGCGCGAACUGGUGUUCUUGAGUGAGUACGACGCGGACGGAAUUCGUGGUGUAGCGGUGAAAUGCUUAGAUAUCACGAAGAACCCCGAUUGCGAAGGCAGUCCGCGAGUCCUUUACUGACGCUAAAGCUCGAAGGUGCGGGUAUACGAACAGGAUUAGAUACCCUGGUAGUCCCCU
This 806-nucleotide ribosomal RNA is filed under the name uncultured Bacteroidota bacterium. RNAcentral describes it as "bacterial SSU rRNA". It matches the Rfam family "Bacterial small subunit ribosomal RNA", at positions 1 to 799 of the family's 1533-position model. Lineage: Bacteria; Pseudomonadati; Bacteroidota. The record is from RNAcentral.